RNAcentral lists this transfer RNA (66 nucleotides) under Mancinella alouina. RNAcentral describes it as "tRNA-Glu". It matches the Rfam family "tRNA". Rfam says of the family: Transfer RNA (tRNA) molecules are approximately 80 nucleotides in length. Their secondary structure includes four short double-helical elements and three loops (D, anti-codon, and T loops). Further hydrogen bonds mediate the characteristic L-shaped molecular structure. tRNAs have two regions of fundamental functional importance: the anti-codon, which is responsible for specific mRNA codon recognition, and the 3' end, to which the tRNAs corresponding amino acid is attached (by aminoacyl-tRNA synthetases). tRNAs cope with the degeneracy of the genetic code in two manners: having more than one tRNA (with a specific anti-codon) for a particular amino acid; and 'wobble' base-pairing, i.e. permitting non-standard base-pairing at the 3rd anti-codon position. The record is from RNAcentral. Lineage: Eukaryota; Metazoa; Mollusca; Gastropoda; Neogastropoda; Muricidae.
GUUUCUAUGGUGUAACUUAGCACGUUAGAUUUUCAUUCUAAAAGAAUAAAUUAAUUUAUUAGAAAU